Long non-coding RNA from Sinocyclocheilus anshuiensis, 1563 nucleotides. The record is from Ensembl. Lineage: Eukaryota; Metazoa; Chordata; Actinopteri; Cypriniformes; Cyprinidae.
UAGCUGCUUUGUUGUACAAAAGGGGUUUUUGUCAUUAAUUGUGUUGUUUGUUGUAGAGAUCUGCUGUCUCGUGAUAACCUUUUUGAAAUCAUCACCAAUACCAGAACCUUCUACAUCCAGACAGACACCCCAGAAGACAUGAAGGGCUGGAUCAAGGAUAUCUCCUCAAAAAUUCAAGACUUUAGAGGGCCAUCUAAGUUGCGCUCUUCCAGCAAAACCUUUUCUGCGCAGAGGAAGCCUCAGCUUGUGAAGUCCUGCUCCACUGCAGAUUCCUGGCAGCCGUGGACCCCGGUGCCCAAUCAGGAGAAGCAUUUGAAGGAAGAGGGUCAGAGAGAAGGGCCGUACAGCUCUCUUCCCUCACUCUCACACAUGGGCCACGUCUUUCAGUCAACGACUCGACAACGACACCAUUCCCAGCCCCAACUCGCUCCCAGCGACACAGACUUUCCCGACAGUCUUGACAAUCUCCGCUCCACUGAUGUUUAGUUGCUUUAAUGGAUACUGCUGGCCAGCACAUGGAUAGUGUUAUGAUUUUAGCUUUUUGAUUGUUGCUUUUUUUGUUCAGUGGUACGCACACAAGUGCAUCAGUCAUUGCAGUGCUGCUCACUCACUCUAAAGGAAUAGUUCCCAAAUUUAGUUACCAAAUUCUGCCCAAAAAUUCUGUCAUUAUUUACUCAAGCUCCAGCAAGCAAUGUAUGGCAAGAAUUGUGUACCAUUUCUUCAAGCGAUUGUACUUUUGUCUUUUUACAGAAAAAAACAAAACAAAAUACUUUGGGAACAAAAAAAAUGGUUUGGAACUAUAUGUAGAAGAGAAUUGUCAUUUUGGCUGAACUAUUCCUUUAAAAGAAUGUGUCUUUUUAUGUAUGUAGGAAUGUGUAAUGAGGAAGGAUCAUCUGGUGAAAAGACAUUUCAUGUGUUGUGUUGCUUUACUUAAUUUCCCAAGACAUAAAGUGGGGUCUGAAAGUCGGAGACAACUUGUGAAAUGCUUUUUUUGUAUUAUAUAAUGAUAUUUUCAUCACAAAAAAACUGAUGAACAUGUUAUCCAGCAUGAUUUAAGAAUGUCCCAAAGAGCAUCUUGUGCACUGCAAUGAAUAUUCUGCGUUUUGAUUCUUUUGCUUUGUUUACUUUGUUUUUUUUAAAUAUGAGAUAUUUACAUUUCAAGAUAAAAAAACCUCAAUUUUCAAUGUGGUCUCAAACUUUUGGACCCGCUUGUACACUUGAAAGUAUUGUUGGUACUUGUGGUAGACUUCAGUCAAGGCAUGUGGACUUAUUUUGAAGACUUUUUGUUUUCAAUAUCACUAAUGAAGGCGCUUGAAGGAUUAGGACAACUUUGACUAGACAUUCUAUAAUGAUUUUCGUGACUGAAAACAUUUUAAUAUUGAUUGCUUUGAAAUGCCUGAAAAAGUUAAUAGAAUUCUUUCGUUUGUUGUUGUGAAUGGUACUACAUGUUGACAAGUAGGUAAUGUUUCUGUUGCUCAAACUACUUGUUUUUUUGAUAUGCGUCAUUGCUAGAUAUGCAUCGUCGCUUUGCACAUGAAAUAAACCAGUCCUUGAAGGAAAAAA